CGGCGACCAUGGUGGUCGCGGCAGCUGCUGGGGCCGUGACAGGCCCGGCGGCAGCGGGCGAAUCCGAGUCGUAGUGCUGCGGGCCGCCGAGACCGACAUCUAGCAUGUCAACGUUGACGUCGUGCGACGCCGGAGGGGGCGGAGACGGGUCGGCGGCGAGGGGGAGGUUGAUGUCAGGGGGGGCGACCGCCGCGGCAUGUAGGCAGCGGCGGAAGGGCCCCUGUGGCUGGAGGAAGAGGUCGAAGUCGUCGUGGGAGGCGGUGUCCAUGGAGAGGAAGGUGGAGGGGCCCUGGUGCGGGUGGUGGGCCGUUGCGGUGUCCAUGGAGAGCGCGGUGAGCAGCGACUCGCCCAUGGCGGCGGCGGCGGCGGCGGCCGUCGUCCUCCUGGCGGCUCGCUCCUCGUCCGCCUGCUGCUCCCCUUCCGUCGCCGCCGCUACGCUGUCCAAAUCGUCGGCGCUUCCUCCUCCACCGCCUCCGC
Molecule: long non-coding RNA, 477 nt
Filed under: Sorghum bicolor (sorghum)
Lineage: Eukaryota; Viridiplantae; Streptophyta; Magnoliopsida; Poales; Poaceae
Description: long non-coding RNA (SBIC_LNC001657)
Source: RNAcentral